RNAcentral lists this ribosomal RNA (453 nucleotides) under uncultured organism. RNAcentral's name for it is "partial 16S ribosomal RNA". It matches the Rfam family "Bacterial small subunit ribosomal RNA", at positions 331 to 800 of the family's 1533-position model. The record is from RNAcentral.
GUACACUCCUGCGGGAGGCAGCAGUGGGGAAUAUUGGACAAUGGGCGCAAGCCUGAUCCAGCCAUGCCGCGUGAGUGAUGAAGGCCCUAGGGUUGUAAAGCUCUUUCACCGGUGAAGAUAAUGACGGUAACCGGAGAAGAAGCCCCGGCUAACUUCGUGCCAGCAGCCGCGGUAAUACGAAGGGGGCUAGCGUUGUUCGGAUUUACUGGGCGUAAAGCGCACGUAGGCGGACUAUUAAGUCAGGGGUGAAAUCCCGGGGCUCAACCCCGGAACUGCCUUUGAUACUGGUAGUCUUGAGUUCGAGAGAGGUGAGUGGAAUUCCGAGUGUAGAGGUGAAAUUCGUAGAUAUUCGGAGGAACACCAGUGGCGAAGGCGGCUCACUGGCUCGAUACUGACGCUGAGGUGCGAAAGCGUGGGGGGCAAACAGGAUUAGAUACCCUUGUAGUCCCAUGA